GCCUUGAUUGAGCAACAGCUCAAACGCUCUUUAAAAAGUUGACCAAGUAAUUCGUGUGGGCGCUGGCCGAGGUAUUUCGGAUAUGAAAUAUCAGGACAGUGACUCGUCGAAAUUGAGUUUUGUCUUGAGCAAGAAUAGAGAAUCUUCGGAUUCUUGUAUGAUUUAAACUGAAGAGUUUGAUCAUGGCUCAGAUUGAACGCUGGCGGCAGGCUUAACACAUGCAAGUCGAGCGGUAACAGAUCUAGCUUGCUAGAUGCUGACGAGCGGCGGACGGGUGAGUAAUGCAUAGGAAACUGCCCAGUAGUGGGGGAUAGCCCGGGGAAACCCGGAUUAAUACCGCGUACGCCCUUCGGGGGAAAGCAGGGGAUCUUCGGACCUUGCGCUAUUGGAUGUGCCUAUGUCGGAUUAGCUAGUUGGUGGGGUAAAGGCCUACCAAGGCGACGAUCCGUAGCUGGUCUGAGAGGAUGAUCAGCCACAUCGGGACUGAGACACGGCCCGAACUCCUACGGGAGGCAGCAGUGGGGAAUAUUGGACAAUGGGGGCAACCCUGAUCCAGCCAUGCCGCGUGUGUGAAGAAGGCUUUCGGGUUGUAAAGCACUUUCAGUGAGGAGGAAAACUCUGCGACUAAUACUCGUAGGGCUUGACGUUACUCACAGAAGAAGCACCGGCUAACUCCGUGCCAGCAGCCGCGGUAAUACGGAGGGUGCAAGCGUUAAUCGGAAUUACUGGGCGUAAAGCGCGCGUAGGUGGUUUGAUAAGCGAGAUGUGAAAGCCCCGGGCUUAACCUGGGAACGGCAUUUCGAACUGUCAGGCUAGAGUAUGGUAGAGGGUAGUGGAAUUUCCUGUGUAGCGGUGAAAUGCGUAGAUAUAGGAAGGAACACCAGUGGCGAAGGCGGCUACCUGGACCAAUACUGACACUGAGGUGCGAAAGCGUGGGGAGCAAACAGGAUUAGAUACCCUGGUAGUCCACGCCGUAAACGAUGUCUACUAGCCGUUGGGACUCUUGAAGUCUUAGUGGCGCAGCUAACGCACUAAGUAGACCGCCUGGGGAGUACGGCCGCAAGGUUAAAACUCAAAUGAAUUGACGGGGGCCCGCACAAGCGGUGGAGCAUGUGGUUUAAUUCGACGCAACGCGAAGAACCUUACCUGGCCUUGACAUGCAGAGAACUUUCCAGAGAUGGAUUGGUGCCUUCGGGAACUCUGACACAGGUGCUGCAUGGCCGUCGUCAGCUCGUGUCGUGAGAUGUUGGGUUAAGUCCCGUAACGAGCGCAACCCCUAUCCCUAGUUGCUAGCAGUUCGGCUGAGAACUCUAGGGAGACUGCCGGUGACAAACCGGAGGAAGGUGGGGAUGACGUCAGGUCAUCAUGGCCCUUACGGCCAGGGCUACACACGUGCUACAAUGGUGCGCACAGAGGGCUGCAAACCCGCGAGGGGGAGCCAAUCUCACAAAACGCAUCGUAGUCCGGAUCGCAGUCUGCAACUCGACUGCGUGAAGUCGGAAUCGCUAGUAAUCGUGAAUCAGAAUGUCACGGUGAAUACGUUCCCGGGCCUUGUACACACCGCCCGUCACACCAUGGGAGUGGAUUGCACCAGAAGUGGUUAGUCUAACCUUCGGGAGGACGAUCACCACGGUGUGGUUCAUGACUGGGGUGAAGUCGUAACAAGGUAGCCGUAGGGGAACCUGCGGCUGGAUCACCUCCUUA
This 1704-nucleotide ribosomal RNA is filed under the name Marinobacter sp. 3-2. RNAcentral describes it as "bacterial SSU rRNA". It matches the Rfam family "Bacterial small subunit ribosomal RNA". The record is from RNAcentral. Lineage: Bacteria; Pseudomonadati; Pseudomonadota; Gammaproteobacteria; Pseudomonadales; Marinobacteraceae.